GACGAGCGCUGGCGGCGUGCCUAAUACAUGCAAGUUGAGCGCUGAAGGUUGGUACUUGUACCAACUGGAUGAGCAGCGAACGGGUGAGUAACGCGUGGGGAAUCUGCCUUUGAGCGGGGGACAACAUUUGGAAACGAAUGCUAAUACCGCAUAAAAACUUUAAACACAAGUUUUAAGUUUGAAAGAUGCAAUUGCAUCACUCAAAGAUGAUCCCGCGUUGUAUUAGCUAGUUGGUGAGGUAAAGGCUCACCAAGGCGAUGAUACAUAGCCGACCUGAGAGGGUGAUCGGCCACAUUGGGAAUGAGACACGGCCCAAACUCCUACGGGAGGCAGCAGUAGGGAAUCUUCGGCAAUGGACGAAAGUCUGACCGAGCAACGCCGCGUGAGUGAAGAAGGUUUUCGGAUCGUAAAACUCUGUUGGUAGAGAAGAACGUUGGUGAGAGUGGAAAGCUCAUCAAGUGACGGUAACUACCCAGAAAGGGACGGCUAACUACGUG
Molecule: ribosomal RNA, 497 nt
Filed under: uncultured bacterium
Lineage: Bacteria
Description: partial 16S ribosomal RNA
Rfam family: Bacterial small subunit ribosomal RNA
Source: RNAcentral